Molecule: long non-coding RNA, 2010 nt
Filed under: Pan troglodytes (chimpanzee)
Lineage: Eukaryota; Metazoa; Chordata; Mammalia; Primates; Hominidae
Description: long non-coding RNA NONPTRT002059
Source: RNAcentral
CGCAGGAAGGGUCUCGGGAGCCGGGGGGUCCGGAGGUGGAGGAGUCUCAGCAUCUUGUUUCCUGUGCUCCUUCCCAGCAGGUGCAGGCCCUGGAAGACGAGGGAGGAGCCUGUGAGCCACCGGCCCACGUGAAAGUAAAUGCAUGAAGUUCCCUCUCACUGAACUGAAAAGAGCCUCAACCUGGACCUGACACCAACUUCGCCGGUGCUGCCUGGCUGGUUGCUCUAGCGCCCUGAAGGAGAGGAAUGCAGUCAUAUUUCACUGUGAUUUUCAGUGUCAUUUCCACGAAGACUAAUGAUGUUGAGCUUUUUUUUCUCCAUAAUACAGAGAGAUCUUGACUGAGACAGACACACCCCAAGUGUGCAGCAUUUGAGGCGCUCCGAGACCCUCAUGAGCUUGGGUCCUCCAUGGCUGCCUCGCCACUAUAUGAGGAAGCUUCGGGAUGUGUGAAGGCAGACCCGACUUCAGGACCUCAUUCAGAGCGAGAGCCUGGGAACACUGGUGUGAGGCAGCACCGUGCCCUCGCCGUGCACCCAGGGGGUUUUGUGAGACGAGAGAUAGAGUCUUGCUAUGUUGUCCAGGCUGGCACUGAACUCUUGGGCUCCAACGAUCCUCCUGCCCCGGCCUCCUGAGUAGCUGGGAUUAUAGGCACAAGUCACCAUGCCCAGCCGGAAUAAUCUGAAGGAAAGAUGGGUAUAUUCAAGAUGACUUUGCUGCUGGAAAUAUGACAGAAUAAUGUGGUAUCUUCCUCUGCACUUCCAAGCUCUUUCACACUCAGGCUCCUCCUGGCUUUUCUGCCUCAGACACCAUAAACUGUGGUUGCUUCUCCAGCUCUGUUACAGUUCAGACUUGAGGGGAGGUGACAAGAGCUAACAUGUUACCAUGGGGAGCCUGGCUGACAUUUCCGAAACUGAAGACUCUAUGGAAGCCUCAUGCUAUUGCAAUGUGUACAUCAAAAGUAAAGUACCCCAGGUUAAAACUAUGAGGAAGUUGCCAUCUUUACUUCCAGGAGCAAAGACACUGAAACUGUCCCCUGUAAGCCCCUUAAUUUCAUACAGUCCUCUGACUGCCCCCCCCCCCCAACCCUGGCUACUUUUUUUUGAAAUAAGGUCUCACUCUGUCAUCCAGGCUGGAGUGCAGUGGCAAAAUCACAAUACCCUGCAGCCUUGACCUCAUGGGCUCAAGCAGUCCUCCCACUUCAGCCUCCUGGGUAGCUGGGACUACAGGCUUGCACUACCACACCCAGCUUAUUUUUUGUAGAGACAGAGUUUCGUCAUGUUGCCCAGGCUGGUCUCAGGAGUCACUCCUGAGCUCAAGUGAUCCGCCUGCCUUGGCCUCCCAAAGUGCUGGGAUUACAGGCGUGAGCCACUAUGUCUGGUCCUCUGACCCUUUUAGCAGGAAAUCCAGCCCAGCCCCUGAACGGCAUGUUAGACAGUUCAACAAAGCCUUCUAGAAGACCAAAGAAGACUCAUAGGAAUAAGCCUCUUGCUGAUUAAUGGAAACAUGACCAUUUGUGGAGAAAGUGCAAUCUGCAUUGAACACCUUUAGGGGAACCUGUCAUUUAAGACUUCAAGCAUUACCAUGAAAACUUCCUCUGAAAAACCUUACAGACAUCUCUGUAAAACAGAUUUAAAAAGAAACACAUUUCUGCUCAAUUGGUACACAUCAAAUGGUGAUUUAAGAGCAAGGCUAGGAAACCAGAAGAUGAUAUGCAUAUACAUAAAGUUGCCACUAUUCCAAAUAGUAAAAUAAAGACAAAGUCAAUGGUCCUAGAAGAGCUGGUGGGUUGUGGAGCCAGGAGAGAAAGGCAGCUCCCUUCACCUUCCCUGUACAUUCCAGGAGGCCCUAGAAUGACCUAGAUGGUGUUACGCACAAAGCCCUCCUUUUCCCAUCCCGCCAUCAUCUCAGGAGCAAAUGGCCACACUCGGGUAUACGGAGCAGCUCAAGCAACCAGGUCUUCCCGCCAUUCCCCUGAAAGGGCUGGUUUUGCCAAACGCCAGAGCCACAUUG